AGAGUUUGAUCCUGGCUCAGGACGAACGCUGGCGGCGGGCCUAACACAUGCAAGUCUAAGGAGAAUUUCGGAGCAAUCUGAAAGGACACUGGCGCACGGGUGAGUAACGCGUAGGUAACCUACCUUCUGCUGGGGGAUAACAUCGGGAAACCGGUGCUAAUACCGCAUAAUGCAGCGGUCACGCAUGUGGCAGUUGUUAAAGAAUUUCGGCAGAAGAUGGGCCUGCGUGUCAUUAGUUAGUUGGUAAGGUAACGGCUUACCAAGACGAUGAUGACUAGGGGGUCUGAGAGGAUGAUCCCCCACACUGGAACUGAGACACGGUCCAGACUCCUACGGGAGGCAGCAGUGAGGAAUCUUGCGCAAUGGGGGAAACCCUGACGCAGCCACGCCGCGUGCCAGAUGAAGGCCCUACGGGUCGUAAAUGGCUUUUGGUCGGGAAGAUAAGCCGGGUUUCGACCUGGUGUGACGGUACCGACUGAAUAAGCACCGGCUAACUCCGUGCCAGCAGCCGCGGUAAUACGGAGGGUGCAAGCGUUGUCCGGAAUCAUUGGGUGUAAAGGGUGCGUAGGCGGAUGUCUAAGUCUGGGGUGAAAUCUUGCAGCUUAACUGUAAAAUUGCCUUGGAUACUGGAUGUCUUGAGUACAGAAGAGGAUGGUGGAAUUCGUAGUGUAGCGGUGAAAUGCAUAGAUAUUACGAAGAACACCGGUGGCGAAAGCGGCCAUCUGGUCUGUUACUGACGCUGAGCACGAAAGCGUGGGGAGCGAACAGGAUUAGAUACCCUGGUAGUCCACGCCGUAAACGAUGUGUGCUAGUUGUUGGCCUGUAUGGGCCAGUGACGUAGUUAACGCGCUAAGCACACCACCUGGGGAGUACGUUCGCAGAUGAAACUCAAGGAUUGACGG
This 902-nucleotide ribosomal RNA is filed under the name uncultured marine bacterium. RNAcentral describes it as "bacterial SSU rRNA". It matches the Rfam family "Bacterial small subunit ribosomal RNA", at positions 8 to 916 of the family's 1533-position model. The record is from RNAcentral.